This 1365-nucleotide ribosomal RNA is filed under the name uncultured bacterium. Its description in RNAcentral is "bacterial SSU rRNA". It matches the Rfam family "Bacterial small subunit ribosomal RNA", at positions 28 to 1387 of the family's 1533-position model. The record is from RNAcentral.
GAUGAACGCUAGCUACAGGCUUAACACAUGCAAGUCGAGGGGCAGCAUUUUAGUUUGCUCGCAAACUGAAGAUGGCGACCGGCGCACGGGUGAGUAACACGUAUCCAACCUGCCGAUAACUCCGGAAUAGCCUCUCGAAAGAAAGAUUAAUACCGGAUAGCAUACGAAUAUCGCAUGAUAUUUUUAUUAAAGAAUUUCGGUUAUCGAUGGGGAUGCGUUCCAUUAGUUUGUUGGCGGGGUAACGGCCCACCAAGACUACGAUGGAUAGGGGUUCUGAGAGGAAGGUCCCCCACAUUGGAACUGAGACACGGUCCAAACUCCUACGGGAGGCAGCAGUGAGGAAUAUUGGUCAAUGGGCGAGAGCCUGAACCAGCCAAGUAGCGUGAAGGAUGAAGGCUCUAUGGGUCGUAAACUUCUUUUAUAUGGGAAUAAAGUUUUCCACGUGUGGAAUUUUGUAUGUACCAUAUGAAUAAGGAUCGGCUAACUCCGUGCCAGCAGCCGCGGUAAUACGGAGGAUCCGAGCGUUAUCCGGAUUUAUUGGGUUUAAAGGGAGCGUAGGUGGAUUGUUAAGUCAGUUGUGAAAGUUUGCGGCUCAACCGUAAAAUUGCAGUUGAAACUGGCAGUCUUGAGUACAGUAGAGGUGGGCGGAAUUCGUGGUGUAGCGGUGAAAUGCUUAGAUAUCACGAAGAACUCCGAUUGCGAAGGCAGCUCACUAGACUGUCACUGACACUGAUGCUCGAAAGUGUGGGUAUCAAACAGGAUUAGAUACCCUGGUAGUCCACACAGUAAACGAUGAAUACUCGCUGUUUGCGAUAUACAGUAAGCGGCCAAGCGAAAGCAUUAAGUAUUCCACCUGGGGAGUACGCCGGCAACGGUGAAACUCAAAGGAAUUGACGGGGGCCCGCACAAGCGGAGGAACAUGUGGUUUAAUUCGAUGAUACGCGAGGAACUUUACCCGGGCUUAAAUUGCAACAGAAUAUAUUGGAAACAGUAUAGCCGUAAGGCUGUUGUGAAGGUGCUGCAUGGUUGUCGUCAGCUCGUGCCGUGAGGUGUCGGCUUAAGUGCCAUAACGAGCGCAACCCUUAUCUUUAGUUACUAACAGGUUAUGCUGAGGACUCUAGAGAGACUGCCGUCGUAAGAUGUGAGGAAGGUGGGGAGGACGUCAAAUCAGCACGGCCCUUACGUCCGGGGCUACACACGUGUUACAAUGGGGGGUACAGAAGGCAGCUACACGGCGACGUGAUGCUAAUCCCAAAAACCUCUCUCAGUUCGGAUCGAAGUCUGCAACCCGACUUCGUGAAGCUGGAUUCGCUAGUAAUCGCGCAACAGCCAUGGCGCGGUGAAUAAAAAGCCGGGCCUUGCACA